Molecule: non-coding RNA, 192 nt
Organism: Oryza glumipatula
Lineage: Eukaryota; Viridiplantae; Streptophyta; Magnoliopsida; Poales; Poaceae
Source: Rfam
UUUAAGUGCAAUUAUGAGUUUCCGCGCUAAACUUUGAUCGCCCGUCUUGUUUGAAAUAUUUUUAAUUAGUAUUUUUGUUGUUAUGAGAUGAUAAAACAUAAAUAGUACUUUACUCAUGACUUAUGGUUUUAAAAUUUUUUAAAUAAGACGGACGAUGAAAGUUGGGCACGAAAAACCAUGGCUGCACUUAAA